Molecule: ribosomal RNA, 1245 nt
Filed under: metagenome
Description: bacterial LSU rRNA
Rfam family: Bacterial large subunit ribosomal RNA
Source: RNAcentral
UGAAUACGAGAUGCUACGGCGUCGAAGCAGUGUAUGUCAGACUUCCAAGAAAAGCUCGCAAUGUCAUAAAUAAAGAAUGCCUGUACCAUAACCGACACAGGUGGGUAGGUAGAGUAUACUAAGGGGCGCGAGAUAACUCUCUCUAAGGAACUCGGCAAAAUAACUCCGUAACUUCGGGAGAAGGAGUGCCUUCUUGAAGAAGGUUGCAAUAACAAGAUCCAAGCAACUGUUUAUCAAAAACACAGGUCUCCGCUAAGUCGAAAGACGAUGUAUGGGGGCUGACGCCUGCCCAGUGCCAGAAGGUUAAAGAAGCUGGUUAGCAAUAGCGAAGCUGGUGACUGAAGCCCUGGUGAACGGCGGCCGUAACAAUAACGGUCCUAAGGUAGCGAAAUUCCUUGUCGGGUAAGUUCCGACCCGCACGAAAGGCGUAAUGAUUUGGAUACUGUCUCGGAGAGGGACUCGGUGAGAUAGACCUGUCUGUGAAGAUGCGGACUACCUGCACCAGGACAGAAAGACCCUAUGAAGCUUUACUGUAACUUGAAAUUGAAAUUGGACUUUAUUUGCGCAGUAUAGGUGGAAGGCGUUGAGAUUACUCUUGCGGGAUUAGUGGAGCCAUCAGUGAGAUACCACUCCUAUAAUGUUAGAUUUCUAACUUUGGAUCAUAAUCUGGUCAAAGAACAGUUUCAGGCGGGCAGUUUGACUGGGGCGGUCGCCUCCCAAAUGGUAACGGAGGCGUACAAAGGUUUCCUCUGAACGGGUAGAAAUCGUAUCUAGAGUGUAAAGGCAUAAGGAAGCUUGACUGUGAGACCUACAAGUCGAGCAGGGACGAAAGUCGGUCUUAGUGAUCUGACGGUGCUGAGUGGAAAGGCCGUCACUCAACGGAUAAAAGUUACUCUAAGGAUAACAGGCUGAUCUCCCCCAAGAGUUCACAUCGACGGGGAGGUUUGGCACCUCGAUGUCGGCUCAUCGCAUCCUGGGGCGGUAGUACGUCCCAAGGGUUGGGCUGUUCGCCCAUGAAAGCGGUACGCGAGCUGGGUUCAGAACGUCGUGAGACAGUUCGGUCCAUAUCCGGUGUAGGCGUUAGAAUAUUGAGAGGAGCCUUCUUUAGUACGAGAGGACCGAGAAGGACAUACCUCUGGUGUACCAGUUAUCGUGCCAACGGUAAACGCUGGGUAGCUAUGUAUGGAGAGGAUAACCGCUGAAAGCAUCUAAGUGGGAAGCCCACCUCAAGAUGAGUAUUCUCAC